AGUGAACGCUGGCGGUAGGCCUAACACAUGCAAGUCGAACGGCAGCACAGUAAGCGCUUGCUCUUACGGGUGGCGAGUGGCGGACGGGUGAGGAAUACAUCGGAAUCUACUUUUUCGUGGGGGAUAACGUAGGGAAACUUACGCUAAUACCGCAUACGACCUACGGGUGAAAGCAGGGGAUCUUCGGACCUUGCGCGAUUGAAUGAGCCGAUGUCGGAUUAGCUAGUUGGCGGGGUAAAGGCCCACCAAGGCGACGAUCCGUAGCUGGUCUGAGAGGAUGAUCAGCCACACUGGAACUGAGACACGGUCCAGACUCCUACGGGAGGCAGCAGUGGGGAAUAUUGGACAAUGGGCGCAAGCCUGAUCCAGCCAUACCGCGUGGGGGAAGAAGGCCUUCGGGUUGUAAAGCCCUUUUGUUGGGAAAGAAAAGCAGCAGGUUAAUACCCCGCUGUUCUGACGGUACCCAAAGAAUAAGCACCGGCUAACUUCGUG
Molecule: ribosomal RNA, 492 nt
Filed under: uncultured bacterium
Lineage: Bacteria
Description: partial 16S ribosomal RNA
Rfam family: Bacterial small subunit ribosomal RNA
Source: RNAcentral